Molecule: non-coding RNA, 94 nt
Organism: Xylaria castorea
Lineage: Eukaryota; Fungi; Ascomycota; Sordariomycetes; Xylariales; Xylariaceae
Source: the annotation of a GenBank genome assembly
GUUUUCGUGGCCUAGUUGGUUAGGGCGUCUGUCUUACAAAGAUUCGUAUCUUGAAGCUCACAGAAGAUCCCCGGUUCGAGCCCGGGCGAGAACA